GAUGAACGCUGGCGGCGUGCCUAAUACAUGCAAGUCGAACGCGCAGCGAAAGGUGCUUGCACCUUUCAAGCGAGUGGCGAACGGGUGAGUAACACGUGGAUAACCUGCCUCAAGGCUGGGGAUAACAUUUGGAAACAGAUGCUAAUACCGAAUAAAACUUAGUAUCGCAUGAUACAAAGUUAAAAGGCGAUACGGCGUCACCUAGAGAUGGAUCCGAGGUGCAUUAGGUAGUUGGGGGGGUAAAGGCUUACGAAGACGAUGAUGCAUAGCCGGGUUGAGCGACUGAGCGGCCACAUUGGGACUGAGACACGGCCCAAACUCCUACGGGAGGCAGCAGUAGGGAAUCUUCCACAAUGGGCGCAAGCCUGAUGGAGCAACGCCGCGUGUGUGAUGAAGGAUUUCGGGUCGUAAAGCACUGUUGUAUGGGAAGAAAUGCUAAAAUAGGGAAUGAUUUUAGUUUGACGGUACCAUACCAGAAAGGGACGGCUAAAUACGUGCCAGCAGCCGCGGUAA
This 513-nucleotide ribosomal RNA is filed under the name uncultured bacterium. RNAcentral describes it as "partial 16S ribosomal RNA". It matches the Rfam family "Bacterial small subunit ribosomal RNA", at positions 28 to 523 of the family's 1533-position model. The record is from RNAcentral.